RNAcentral lists this transfer RNA (57 nucleotides) under Diaphorina citri (Asian citrus psyllid). It matches the Rfam family "tRNA", at positions 8 to 63 of the family's 71-position model. Rfam says of the family: Transfer RNA (tRNA) molecules are approximately 80 nucleotides in length. The record is from Rfam by way of RNAcentral. Lineage: Eukaryota; Metazoa; Arthropoda; Insecta; Hemiptera; Psyllidae.
UGGCGUAGUGUUCACUGCGCUCGCCUUGCACGCGGGAGGCCCGGGUUCGAUUCCCGG